Molecule: microRNA precursor, 88 nt
Filed under: Prolemur simus (greater bamboo lemur)
Lineage: Eukaryota; Metazoa; Chordata; Mammalia; Primates; Lemuridae
Description: microRNA 96 (ENSPSMG00000025901.1)
Rfam family: mir-96 microRNA precursor family (bases 6-83)
Source: RNAcentral
CUGCUUGGCCGAUUUUGGCACUAGCACAUUUUUGCUUGUGUCUCUCCGCUCUGAGCAAUCAUGUGCAGUGCCAAUAUGGGAAAAGCGG